AUGAACGCUGGCGGCGUGCCUAAUACAUGCCAGUCGCGCGAACAGAUAAGGAGCUUGCUCCUUUGACGUUAGCGGCGGACGGGUGAGUAACACGUGGGUAACCUACCUAUAAGACUGGGAUAACUUCGGGAAACCGGAGCUAAUACCGGAUAACAUUUGGAACCGCAUGGUUCUAAAGUGAAAGAUGGUUUUGCUAUCACUUAUAGAUGGACCCGCGCCGUAUUAGCUAGUUGGUAAGGUAACGGCUUACCAAGGCGACGAUACGUAGCCGACCUGAGAGGGUGAUCGGCCACACUGGAACUGAGACACGGUCCAGACUCCUACGGGAGGCAGCAGUAGGGAAUCUUCCGCAAUGGGCGAAAGCCUGACGGAGCAACGCCGCGUGAGUGAUGAAGGGUUUCGGCUCGUAAAACUCUGUUAUUAGGGAAGAACAAAUGUGUAAGUAACUGUGCACGUCUUGACGGUACCUAAUCAGAAAGCCACGGCUAACUACGU
Molecule: ribosomal RNA, 495 nt
Filed under: uncultured bacterium
Lineage: Bacteria
Description: partial 16S ribosomal RNA
Rfam family: Bacterial small subunit ribosomal RNA
Source: RNAcentral